RNAcentral lists this ribosomal RNA (2923 nucleotides) under Klebsiella pneumoniae. RNAcentral's name for it is "23S ribosomal RNA". It matches the Rfam family "Bacterial large subunit ribosomal RNA". Lineage: Bacteria; Pseudomonadati; Pseudomonadota; Gammaproteobacteria; Enterobacterales; Enterobacteriaceae. The record is from RNAcentral.
GGGUUGUGAGGUUAAGCGACUAAGCGUACACGGUGGAUGCCCUGGCAGUCAGAGGCGAUGAAGGACGUGCUAAUCUGCGAAAAGCGUCGGUAAGGUGAUAUGAACCGUUAUAGCCGGCGAUGUCCGAAUGGGGAAACCCAGUGCAAUUCGUUGCACUAUCGUUAACUGAAUACAUAGGUUAACGAGGCGAACCGGGGGAACUGAAACAUCUAAGUACCCCGAGGAAAAGAAAUCAACCGAGAUUCCCCCAGUAGCGGCGAGCGAACGGGGAGCAGCCCAGAGUCUGAAUCAGCUUGUGUGUUAGUGGAACGGUCUGGAAAGUCCGACGGUACAGGGUGAUAGUCCCGUACACCAAAAUGCACAGGCUGUGAACUCGAAGAGUAGGGCGGGACACGUGGUAUCCUGUCUGAAUAUGGGGGGACCAUCCUCCAAGGCUAAAUACUCCUGACUGACCGAUAGUGAACCAGUACCGUGAGGGAAAGGCGAAAAGAACCCCGGCGAGGGGAGUGAAAAAGAACCUGAAACCGUGUACGUACAAGCAGUGGGAGCACCUUCGGGUGUGACUGCGUACCUUUUGUAUAAUGGGUCAGCGACUUAUAUUCUGUAGCAAGGUUAACCGUAUAGGGGAGCCGCAGGGAAACCGAGUCUUAACUGGGCGUUAAGUUGCAGGGUAUAGACCCGAAACCCGGUGAUCUAGCCAUGGGCAGGUUGAAGGUUGGGUAACACUAACUGGAGGACCGAACCGACUAAUGUUGAAAAAUUAGCGGAUGACUUGUGGCUGGGGGUGAAAGGCCAAUCAAACCGGGAGAUAGCUGGUUCUCCCCGAAAGCUAUUUAGGUAGCGCCUCGUGAAUUCAUCUUCGGGGGUAGAGCACUGUUUCGGCUAGGGGGUCAUCCCGACUUACCAACCCGAUGCAAACUACGAAUACCGAAGAAUGUUAUCACGGGAGACACACGGCGGGUGCUAACGUCCGUCGUGAAGAGGGAAACAACCCAGACCGCCAGCUAAGGUCCCAAAGUCAUGGUUAAGUGGGAAACGAUGUGGGAAGGCACAGACAGCCAGGAUGUUGGCUUAGAAGCAGCCAUCAUUUAAAGAAAGCGUAAUAGCUCACUGGUCGAGUCGGCCUGCGCGGAAGAUGUAACGGGGCUAAACCAUGCACCGAAGCUGCGGCAGCGACACUAUGUGUUGUUGGGUAGGGGAGCGUUCUGUAAGCCUGCGAAGGUGACCUGUGAGGGUUGCUGGAGGUAUCAGAAGUGCGAAUGCUGACAUAAGUAACGAUAAAGCGGGUGAAAAGCCCGCUCGCCGGAAGACCAAGGGUUCCUGUCCAACGUUAAUCGGGGCAGGGUGAGUCGACCCCUAAGGCGAGGCCGAAAGGCGUAGUCGAUGGGAAACAGGUUAAUAUUCCUGUACUUGGUGUUACUGCGAAGGGGGGACGGAGAAGGCUAUGUUAGCCGGGCGACGGUUGUCCCGGUUUAAGCAUGUAGGCUGGUUGUCCAGGCAAAUCCGGAUAAUCAAGGCUGAGGUGUGAUGACGAGGCACUACGGUGCUGAAGUAACAAAUGCCCUGCUUCCAGGAAAAGCCUCUAAGCAUCAGGUAACAUUAAAUCGUACCCCAAACCGACACAGGUGGUCAGGUAGAGAAUACCAAGGCGCUUGAGAGAACUCGGGUGAAGGAACUAGGCAAAAUGGUGCCGUAACUUCGGGAGAAGGCACGCUGGUGUGUAGGUGAAGUCCCUGCGGAUGGAGCUGAGACCAGUCGAAGAUACCAGCUGGCUGCAACUGUUUAUUAAAAACACAGCACUGUGCAAACACGAAAGUGGACGUAUACGGUGUGACGCCUGCCCGGUGCCGGAAGGUUAAUUGAUGGGGUUAUCCGUAAGGAGAAGCUCUUGAUCGAAGCCCCGGUAAACGGCGGCCGUAACUAUAACGGUCCUAAGGUAGCGAAAUUCCUUGUCGGGUAAGUUCCGACCUGCACGAAUGGCGUAAUGAUGGCCAGGCUGUCUCCACCCGAGACUCAGUGAAAUUGAACUCGCUGUGAAGAUGCAGUGUACCCGCGGCAAGACGGAAAGACCCCGUGAACCUUUACUAUAGCUUGACACUGAACAUUGAGCCUUGAUGUGUAGGAUAGGUGGGAGGCUUUGAAGCGUGGACGCCAGUCUGCGUGGAGCCAACCUUGAAAUACCACCCUUUAAUGUUUGAUGUUCUAACGUUGGCCCCUGACCGGGGUUGCGGACAGUGUCUGGUGGGUAGUUUGACUGGGGCGGUCUCCUCCCAAAGCGUAACGGAGGAGCACGAAGGUUAGCUAAUCCUGGUCGGACAUCAGGAGGUUAGUGCAAUGGCAUAAGCUAGCUUGACUGCGAGCGUGACGGCGCGAGCAGGUGCGAAAGCAGGUCAUAGUGAUCCGGUGGUUCUGAAUGGAAGGGCCAUCGCUCAACGGAUAAAAGGUACUCCGGGGAUAACAGGCUGAUACCGCCCAAGAGUUCAUAUCGACGGCGGUGUUUGGCACCUCGAUGUCGGCUCAUCACAUCCUGGGGCUGAAGUAGGUCCCAAGGGUAUGGCUGUUCGCCAUUUAAAGUGGUACGCGAGCUGGGUUUAGAACGUCGUGAGACAGUUCGGUCCCUAUCUGCCGUGGGCGCUGGAGAAUUGAGGGGGGCUGCUCCUAGUACGAGAGGACCGGAGUGGACGCAUCACUGGUGUUCGGGUUGUCAUGCCAAUGGCACUGCCCGGUAGCUAAAUGCGGAAGAGAUAAGUGCUGAAAGCAUCUAAGCACGAAACUUGCCCCGAGAUGAGUUCUCCCUGAGACUUUAAGUCUCCUGAAGGAACGUUGAAGACGACGACGUUGAUAGGCCGGGUGUGUAAGCGCAGCGAUGCGUUGAGCUAACCGGUACUAAUGAACCGUGAGGCUUAACCUUACAACGCCGAAG